This 525-nucleotide ribosomal RNA is filed under the name uncultured bacterium. RNAcentral describes it as "bacterial SSU rRNA". It matches the Rfam family "Bacterial small subunit ribosomal RNA", at positions 21 to 526 of the family's 1533-position model. The record is from RNAcentral.
GGCUCAGAUUGAACGCUGGCGGCGUGCCUAACACAUGCAAGUCGAGCGGUAACGCGGGAGCAAUCCUGGCGACGAGCGGCGAACGGGUGAGUAAUGCUUCGGAAUCUGCCCAAUGGUGGGGAAUAACCAGCCGAAAGGUUGGCUAAUACCGCAUACGUCCUAAGGGAGAAAGCGGGGGAUCGUGUCUUCUUCGGAAGACUGGCCUCGCGCCGAUGGAUGAGCCGAAGUCGGAUUAGCUAGUUGGUAGGGUAACGGCCUACCAAGGCGACAAUCCGUAGCUGGUCUGAGAGGACGACCAGCCACACUGGGACUGAGACACGGCCCAGACUCCUAUGGGAGGCAGCAGUGGGGAAUUUUCGCAAUGGGCGAAAGCCUGACGAAGCAACGCCGCGUGGAGGAUGAAGGCCUUCGGGUCGUAAACUCCUGUCGACCGGGACGAAAGUAGGAUGGCCUAAUACGCCGAUCUAUUGACUGUACCGGUGGAGGAAGCCACGGCUAACUCUGUGCCAGCCGCCGCGGUAAUAC